UUCAAAGAAACCUCAAAGGAAUUAUAAAGAAACAAUAACAAAUCUUAAAAAAAUAUUAGAAUGAUCACAAAUAUAUCUCAAAUACAUCUCAAUUCAAUCUUAAUUUAAUCCUAGUUAAAAUCCUAUUAGACUUCAUUCAAACUUUAGGCCAAAAACUAAUUAAAUCUUAAAUCCUAAAAAAAUCCUAAUAAAAUCCUAAAUCUUAAACCAAAUCCUAAUCAAAUCCUAAAUCUAAUCAAAUCCUAACCAAAUUCUAAAUCCUAAAUCAAAUCCUAAUCCUAAAUAAAAUCCUAAUAAAAUCCUAAAUCUUAAACCAAAUCCUAAUCAAAUCCUAAAUCUAAUCAAAUCCUAACCAAAUUCUAAAUCCUAAACCAAAUCCUAACCAAAUUCUAAAUCCUAAAUCAAAUCCUAAUCCUAAAUAAAAUCCUAAUAAAAUCCUAAAUCCUAUACCAAAUACUAAUCAAAUCCUAAUCCUAAAUAAAAUCCUAAUAAAAUCCUAAAUCCUAUACCAAAUGCUAAUCAAAUCCUAAAUUCUAACCUUAAAUCAAAUCCUAAUCAAAUCCUGAACUUUAAAUCAAACUCUGAUCAAACCCUAAAUCCUAAAUCAAAUCCUAAUCAAAUCCUAAACUUUAAAUCAAACUCUAAUCAAAUCCUAAAUCCUAAACUAAAUCCUGAAUUCUAAUUCUAAACCAAAUCCUAACCAAAUCUUAAAUCUUAAACCAAAUUCUGAACUCUAAUCCUAAAUCAAAUCCUAAUCAAAUCUCGAAUCCUAAACCAAACCCUAACUAAAUCCUAAAUCUUAAAUCAAACUCUAACCAAACCUAAAUCCUAAACCAAAUCCUAACCAAAUCUUAACCCUAAACCAAAUCCUAAUCAAAUCCUAAACCUUAAACCAAAUCUUAAACCAAAUUCUAACCAAAUCCUAAAUCCUAAACCAAACCCUAACCAAACCCUGAAUCCUAAAUCAAAUCCUAGCAAUUCCAAUACCAGAUUUAAAUCUCAAUUACUAAU
This 1011-nucleotide long non-coding RNA is filed under the name Physcomitrium patens. RNAcentral's name for it is "long non-coding RNA (PPAT_LNC013928)". The record is from RNAcentral. Lineage: Eukaryota; Viridiplantae; Streptophyta; Bryopsida; Funariales; Funariaceae.